Molecule: ribosomal RNA, 469 nt
Filed under: uncultured bacterium
Lineage: Bacteria
Description: partial 16S ribosomal RNA
Rfam family: Bacterial small subunit ribosomal RNA
Source: RNAcentral
GACGAACGCUGGCGGCGUGCUUAACACAUGCAAGUCGAACGAUGAAGCACCAGCUUGCUGGUGUGGAUUAGUGGCGAACGGGUGAGUAACACGUGAGUAACCUGCCCCUCACUCUGGGAUAAGCCUGGGAAACUGGGUCUAAUACUGGAUACGACCGAUCUCCGCAUGGAGUGUUGGUGGAAAGUUUUUGUGGUGGGGGAUGGACUCGCGGCCUAUCAGCUUGUUGGUGGGGUAAUGGCCUACCAAGGCGACGACGGGUAGCCGGCCUGAGAGGGCGACCGGCCACACUGGGACUGAGACACGGCCCAGACUCCUACGGGAGGAAGCAGUGGGGAAUAUUGCACAAUGGGCGAAAGCCUGAUGCAGCGACGCCGCGUGAGGGAUGACGGCCUUCGGGUUGUAAACCUCUUUCACCAGGGACGAAGCUAACGUGACGGUACCUGGAGAAGAAGCACCGGCUAACUACGUG